UGGGGAAUAUUGGACAAUGGGCGAAAGCCUGAUCCAGCAAUGCCGCGUGAGUGAUGAAGGCCUUAGGGUUGUAAAGCUCUUUUACCCGGGAUGAUAAUGACAGUACCGGGAGAAUAAGCCCCGGCUAACUCCGUGCCAGCAGCCGCGGUAAUACGGAGGGGGCUAGCGUUGUUCGGAAUUACUGGGCGUAAAGCGCACGUAGGCGGCUUUGUAAGUUAGAGGUGAAAGCCCGGAGCUCAACUCCGGAACUGCCUUUAAGACUGCAUCGCUAGAACGUCGGAGAGGUAAGUGGAAUUCCGAGUGUAGAGGUGAAAUUCGUAGAUAUUCGGAAGAACACCAGUGGCGAAGGCGACUUACUGGACGACUGUUGACGCUGAGGUGCGAAAGCGUGGGGAGCAAACAGG
Molecule: ribosomal RNA, 404 nt
Filed under: uncultured bacterium
Lineage: Bacteria
Description: bacterial SSU rRNA
Rfam family: Bacterial small subunit ribosomal RNA
Source: RNAcentral